This is a long non-coding RNA of Eupeodes corollae, 2512 nucleotides long. RefSeq lists it as uncharacterized. NCBI's taxonomy places the organism in Eukaryota, Metazoa, Arthropoda, Insecta, Diptera, Syrphidae. The record is from RefSeq and is a predicted model, not a curated record. The transcript has 3 exons.
UUUAUUUGUUAAAAGCUCAAAUGAACUUAUUAUGACAGUACUCUCAUGAGCAGAAACUUUUAGGGCGACCACAUGAAUCUCGUUGGCGUUGGGGUCGCUAAGUGAAGAUAUUCACGGGAGUGAGAGGAAAAUAAUAUUUUCAUUUACGUAAGAAGCUAGCAGAUUAGUGGAGAAAGUUAAUUCACGAGACAAAAGGGCAACACAAAGUUAAGUUUUUGUUUGUGUUCUUUAUAUGGGAAAGGGAAGUAGGAAGAUGAAAGCGAUAACUGCGUCAACUACUUAGCUUUUCAUUGUCUCAUUUACAGUAUUUUUUUGUAUUGCGUUUGUACACACACGUACACAAGUCUGCUUUGCGCAUGAACAGUUUAUUCCUAUGUCUGAAAACCCUCAAAUUCCAUUAGAGGUGAACUCUCUCGAAUUCGGUAUCGGUGAAUACAUGUGUGUGGUGAAAAAAGGCAAAAUAAGGGAUUGGGCUACAAAAACAACUUGUGGAAUUUUUGUGACCCGUCAAAAAUGACAAUUCUACAAUUUCAAUUUUGCAAAACAAAACAAUGCCUGCGUUCAAUCUCACACAGGUAGAGUAUCCGCAUACCUUUUUACUAGUGUUUUACGUGUAAAAUAACAGCUGAUCAAAAACAGCUUAGAUGUCAAAAAAGGAAUCUGACAGAACAGCUGAUUCAACACAUGGUUGAAUAUCAUUUGAAAAUUGAUUUCAGCUUUUUGUAGUUGUUGGUAAACAAAAAGAUACAAAAUGUUAGUUGAAGUUGUAUUUGAGGAUGUACAAAAUAGACGAUGAAGAAGCAAUUUGCCUCCGAAUUUUAGAAGGUAAAUAUGAUUUAUUUGUUUGAUCUUCAAAAUUGACUUAUUUUGUUCUCGUUUUUUAGAGGACCAAUAUAUUGUUGUAAUGUUGAACAGUUGGCCAUUUAAUAUACUCUCCGAGCAAUGAACAUACCCCUUGGGGAAUUUCGCUGAAUGUCUCCAGCUGAUUAAAAACUUUCUUGCUUACUCAAGAUCCAAACAAAAAGCAACAGUUUUUUUCUCCAAGUUAAAAGUUCUUUUAUUUUGCUGCACUUUGUGCAAGAGAUCCUAAUACUUUGAAAUCGUUAAUAAGCAACUCACUAUAUAGAUAUCAAGACUAGUUUGUUUACAUUUUAUUUGCUAUUCUAGUCCCACCAUUAAGCUAAAACUUUAUCUACUGUGAACAAACCAACUCAAAAUCUUACCGCAAAGCAACUUCUGCUCAUUCGGAAAUGAGAUCAAAAUUCUUCCAAACUAUAUCUAGGUAUUGUUAUAGGAUAGUUUUCUGUUAAACGUUAAUCGUUUAAAAUCGGAGAUUUCGCAAGUAUAUUAUUAAUCGUAUAAAAUUCUAACGAAUCAGUUAAAUUUUCCAUUAAAUGUUUUAUCUUACAACAAUUUUGACUUCGAAGCUUAAAUGUUUCUCUGCUUUUUGUGAACAGCUGAAACCAAAAUAACAGAGAGCUUCAUACCUGCAUUAGAGCCACACUAAAACAUCAAUAUCACACCGAGGCUCCAAUAGGAAAAAGUUAGUGCAGCCAGUCAAUUAUACGCCCGAUGAUGGACGAUAAGGUUCCGAAACGCGUCGCGUUAUAAAUAUAAUAUUUACAAAAAGUUGUGAAAUUUAUUGUUUUAAAAUAAAACAAAAUAAUAAUAAUAAAAAUUAAUUUUCGUUUUAUUUUUCAUUUUCUAAAUUAGCUGAAAGUUGUUUUUAUUUUUUGACAGCUAUCUCAAUACAGCUAUCCAACUCGUUCAACAAGGUAUCUAAAAACCCACCUAUCCAAGAUAUCAUAUCCAACACGAGAUUGAACGCAGCCAAUGUGUUUGGGAUUUUAAAAAGCAAAAACCUUUAUUAUGAAGAGACUACAAGUUCACUUCAAUAAGACAAAACCAUCAACAAAAACACCAUCAAGUCAAUGAUGUAAGUGGAACUUUUGCAAUUCAAAAGUACACCGCUAACUACAUUCGCUCAACAAGAAAUAUAAUGCAAGGCGCUAAAAAAAAAACGACGCAACAGGGCACCGAGAUCAGUUAUAUGUAAAUACAAGCUUUUAGCACCAAACGUCUCACUAUCUCGCUGCCACUGAAGGACGACAGGUAUACUUAGCUGGAUGACAUAGAUGAGGUAGCUGCAUUUUGCACAGAACUAUAACUGGAAUCACACAGGAGAACGUCGACACAGAAAUGUCCCCACAAAUUACCUAACAAUGUUACAAGAGUGGCUGCGUAUAGAGUUGUAAGCCUGCGACCUUUACCUGCCAAAAAUGAAAAAUAAUAAUAAAUAAUUGUGCAUUUGUGACAUGGUCCAAUUGGGAUUUCAAAUUUACCGCGAAAAGAAUGUCAACGAAAACAACUUAAUAAGCCAAUCUAUAGAUCGACUUACGAGCUCUAUUCCGUUAAUUUUGCAAUUAUAAUCUGUAUAUAUUAAACAUAGUCGUGUUAGUUACCCUUUUUAUAACUCUAGAAAGGAAAUUAAGCAAUUUGCAAUUUACAAGUU